RNAcentral lists this ribosomal RNA (115 nucleotides) under Campylobacter jejuni. Its description in RNAcentral is "partial 16S ribosomal RNA". It matches the Rfam family "Bacterial small subunit ribosomal RNA", at positions 658 to 773 of the family's 1533-position model. The record is from RNAcentral. Lineage: Bacteria; Pseudomonadati; Campylobacterota; Epsilonproteobacteria; Campylobacterales; Campylobacteraceae.
AAAAUGGAACUUCCGGUGUAGCGGUGAAAUGCGUAGAUAUCGGAGGAACACCGGUGGCGAAGGCGGCCUCCUGGACAGCAACUGACGCUGAGGCACGAAAGCGUGGGGAGCAAAC